Hyla sarda is the source of this 1152-nucleotide long non-coding RNA. RefSeq lists it as uncharacterized. The record is from RefSeq and is a predicted model, not a curated record. Lineage: Eukaryota; Metazoa; Chordata; Amphibia; Anura; Hylidae. The transcript has 3 exons.
GCGGGUUGUGUUCAUGGGACUGACAAUGAAACGGUCGCAGAGGUCGGUUUUCACGGAUAUCGAUGCACUGUAUCUCUCUGGUCAUGUAUCCACCGCCACAAUUGGUUGAGCACUGUGUGAUAAAUAAGAUGCUGAAGAGAUGAAGUUUUCCCUGGAAGACAUCAUGGCGAUCUGAGCUGGAUGGAGAAGAAAAGGAAAGAAAAUGAUGCCGAUCAGAGAAGAUGUAAUUGUUUGUCCAUUUCUUUUCCUUAAACUUAACAUCCGCCCUGUCCACCGCGAAUUGAGAAAUAAUGAUGAGAGUAACAGAUAAAAGCCACGGCCGCGACUGCAAGAAUAAAUUGGAAAAUGAUUUAAAAGCCCAGCUGAGAGCAUUCAGCAAGGAACACGGAGGUUCAGCUCUCCACUUAUCAGAUUAUAUAUUUUAUAUGAUUUAGGCUAUUAAAUUAUGAUGUUAUAGAACUGCAUAUUUAAAGGGGAGCCCCACAUAACACGUGUGCUCCAUGCAGUAUUUCUUCUUGUUGCUUCAGUAUUUCGCGUUGUGCUUCGUCAGGGGGUGUGAUGUCCCCUGAUGAAGCACAACGCGAAACGUACGUUGGGGUUGGAGCUGGUAGGUAGGCAGCAUGCAUGGCAGGAUGUUCUGAUAUUCCAUUUGUAUAUUUUGCAUGAAUUUUUCCUAUAGGCAAUGUCUAUGUAUUUUUUUGGUCCACUGCUUCUCUUUAUCCUUGUGGUUAUACCACUUAUAUUUUUCUCAGUAGUGUUACUGGCAUUAUCUGUAAAAAAAAAUGUAUUUCCCUGUAUUCCAUGUUUUUGCACCCAACCAAACUUCUCUGUUUCUCUGUAGUUGUCAACUCAGUGCCUUUUUUUAUGCUCUCUGCUAUAUUUUAAAUGUAUGUCUAUUUUGCAUAUAUGUCCAAUAAAGUGGUUACUUUUACACUACUGGCUUUUUUGUUGGUGCGUAUCUUUUGAGUGAACCAGUUGUGGCUGUUUCUAUAUAGCCAGUGUGUUUUUUUUGUUUUUGUUAGAGAUAUAUCCUAGAGAACCAGUAGACACUUUCUAGAGCUUGUUAUUUGUUCACAUUUCGUAUAAUCCUUUUAUCUGACAACAAACAGAAAUCUUUUCAAAUGCAACACAAAGCGUUACAGAACUUUUCAU